UUUCUUCUCAAAAGCUUCUCCUUAAAAUCUUCCAAUGAAUCAUGGAUAUGGCAAACUCCUUUCCUUGCCAAACACUCAAAUAUAGAAGUUCAAGAUGAUGGAAUCGCAACAAUCUCUUAAUUUAAUAGGUAACAGGUUACCCUCUUUUCUUAGCCAACCAAUCACUCUGUUAUGUAUCCAAAACUAUGUGGCCAUCGUGUUGCC
RNAcentral lists this long non-coding RNA (204 nucleotides) under Elaeis guineensis (African oil palm). RNAcentral describes it as "long non-coding RNA (EGUI_LNC029319)". Lineage: Eukaryota; Viridiplantae; Streptophyta; Magnoliopsida; Arecales; Arecaceae. The record is from RNAcentral.